Molecule: ribosomal RNA, 234 nt
Filed under: uncultured bacterium
Lineage: Bacteria
Description: partial 16S ribosomal RNA
Rfam family: Bacterial small subunit ribosomal RNA
Source: RNAcentral
UGGCGGACGGGUGAGUAAUGUCUGGGAAACUGCCCGAUGGAGGGGGAUAACUACUGGAAACGGUAGCUAAUACCGCAUAACGUCGCAAGACCAAAGAGGGGGACCUUCGGGCCUCUUGCCAUCGGAUGUGCCCAGAUGGGAUUAGCUAGUAGGUGGGGUAACGGCUCACCUAGGCGACGAUCCCUAGCUGGUCUGAGAGGAUGACCAGCCACACUGGACUGAGACACGGUCCAG